This 712-nucleotide ribosomal RNA is filed under the name Pseudarthrobacter sp. RNAcentral's name for it is "bacterial SSU rRNA". It matches the Rfam family "Bacterial small subunit ribosomal RNA", at positions 795 to 1502 of the family's 1533-position model. Lineage: Bacteria; Bacillati; Actinomycetota; Actinomycetes; Micrococcales; Micrococcaceae. The record is from RNAcentral.
CCGCCCCGUACGUUGGGCACUAGGUGUGGGGGACAUUCCACGUUUUCCGCGCCGUAGCUAACGCAUUAAGUGCCCCGCCUGGGGAGUACGGCCGCAAGGCUAAAACUCAAAGGAAUUGACGGGGGCCCGCACAAGCGGCGGAGCAUGCGGAUUAAUUCGAUGCAACGCGAAGAACCUUACCAAGGCUUGACAUGAACCGGAAAGACCUGGAAACAGGUGCCCCGCUUGCGGUCGGUUUACAGGUGGUGCAUGGUUGUCGUCAGCUCGUGUCGUGAGAUGUUGGGUUAAGUCCCGCAACGAGCGCAACCCUCGUUCUAUGUUGCCAGCACGUGAUGGUGGGGACUCAUAGGAGACUGCCGGGGUCAACUCGGAGGAAGGUGGGGACGACGUCAAAUCAUCAUGCCCCUUAUGUCUUGGGCUUCACGCAUGCUACAAUGGCCGGUACAAAGGGUUGCGAUACUGUGAGGUGGAGCUAAUCCCAAAAAGCCGGUCUCAGUUCGGAUUGGGGUCUGCAACUCGACCCCAUGAAGUCGGAGUCGCUAGUAAUCGCAGAUCAGCAACGCUGCGGUGAAUACGUUCCCGGGCCUUGUACACACCGCCCGUCAAGUCACGAAAGUUGGUAACACCCGAAGCCGGUGGCCUAACCCCUUGUGGGAGGGAGCUGUCGAAGGUGGGACUGGCGAUUGGGACUAAGUCGUAACAAAGGUAACCA